UCCCCAGUGGCUCAGCGGGUAAAGAGCCGGCCUGCAAUGCAGGACACCCAGGUUCAAAUCCUGGGUCGGGAA
This 72-nucleotide transfer RNA is filed under the name Bos taurus (domestic cattle). It matches the Rfam family "tRNA". From Rfam's summary of the family: Transfer RNA (tRNA) molecules are approximately 80 nucleotides in length. Their secondary structure includes four short double-helical elements and three loops (D, anti-codon, and T loops). Further hydrogen bonds mediate the characteristic L-shaped molecular structure. tRNAs have two regions of fundamental functional importance: the anti-codon, which is responsible for specific mRNA codon recognition, and the 3' end, to which the tRNAs corresponding amino acid is attached (by aminoacyl-tRNA synthetases). tRNAs cope with the degeneracy of the genetic code in two manners: having more than one tRNA (with a specific anti-codon) for a particular amino acid; and 'wobble' base-pairing, i.e. permitting non-standard base-pairing at the 3rd anti-codon position. The record is from Rfam by way of RNAcentral. Lineage: Eukaryota; Metazoa; Chordata; Mammalia; Artiodactyla; Bovidae. RNAcentral also lists the same sequence under 3 other names.